GAUGAACGCUGGCGGCGUGCCUAAUACAUGCAAGUCGAGCGAACAGAUGAGGAGCUUGCUCCUCUGACGUUAGCGGCGGACGGGUGAGUAACACGUGGAUAACCUACCUAUAAGACUGGGAUAACUUCGGGAAACCGGAGCUAAUACCGGAUAAUAUAUUGAACCGCAUGGUUCAAUAGUGAAAGACGGUUUUGCUGGCACUUAUAGAUGGAUCCGCGCCGCAUUAGCUGGUUGGUAAGGUAACGGCUUACCAAGGCAACGAUGCGUAGCCGACCUGAGAGGGGGAUCGGCACCACUGGAGCUGAGACACCGUCCAGGCUCCUACGGAAGGCAGCGGUAGGGAAUCUUGCGAACUGGGCGAAAGCCUGACGGAGCAACGCCGGGUGGGUGAUGAAGCUCUUCGGAUCGUAAAACGCUGUUAUUAGGGAAGAACAAAUGUGUAAGUAACGAUGCACGUCUUGACGGUACCGAAGCAGAAGGCCACGGCUAACUACGU
RNAcentral lists this ribosomal RNA (496 nucleotides) under uncultured bacterium. RNAcentral describes it as "partial 16S ribosomal RNA". It matches the Rfam family "Bacterial small subunit ribosomal RNA", at positions 28 to 506 of the family's 1533-position model. The record is from RNAcentral.